Molecule: ribosomal RNA, 247 nt
Filed under: uncultured bacterium
Lineage: Bacteria
Description: partial 16S ribosomal RNA
Rfam family: Bacterial small subunit ribosomal RNA
Source: RNAcentral
UACAGAGGUCUCAAGCGUUGUUCGGAUUCAUUGGGCGUAAAGGGUGCGUAGGUGGCGCCAUAAGUCAGGUGUGAAAUCUCGGGGCUCAACCCCGAAACUGCACUUGAUACUGUGGUGCUCGAGUACUGGAGAGGAGAUUGGAAUUUACGGUGUAGCAGUGAAAUGCGUAGAUAUCGUAAGGAAGACCAGUGGCGAAGGCGAAUCUCUGGACAGUUACUGAGACUGAGGCACGAAGGCCAGGGGAGCA